UACGUAGGGGGCGAGCGUUGUCCGGAUUUAUUGGGCGUAAAGAGCGUGUAGGCGGCCAGGCAGGUCCGUUGUGAAAACUCGAGGCUCAACCUCGAGACGUCGGCGGAAACCCUCUGGCUAGAGUCCGGAAGAGGAGAGUGGAAUUCCUGGUGUAGCGGUGAAAUGCGCAGAUAUCAGGAAGAACACCCGUGGCGAAGGCGGCUCUCUGGGACGGUACUGACGCUGAGACGCGAAAGCGUGGGGAGCAAACAGG
This 253-nucleotide ribosomal RNA is filed under the name uncultured bacterium. Its description in RNAcentral is "partial 16S ribosomal RNA". It matches the Rfam family "Bacterial small subunit ribosomal RNA", at positions 524 to 776 of the family's 1533-position model. The record is from RNAcentral.